CCUAAGGCGAGGUCGAAAGACGUAGUCGAUGGAUAACAGGUUGAAAUUCCUGUACUAUCCUGUAACAGAACUGUGGGGACACAGGCAGAGAGCGUGAGCCGGGAAUGGAAAGACCGGUACAAGCGAGGUAGGAGAAGAGUUGGCAAAUCCGCUCUUCAAUCUGAAGACGUGAUGUGGACUGAAAAUAAGUAGGGAAGCACGUGAGCUGACUGUCAAGAAAAGCCGCUAUUGUUUGCAGGAUACCCGUACCGUAAACCGACACAGGUGGAUGAGGAGAGAAUCCUAAGGCCGACGGGAGAAGCAUUGUUAAGGAACUCGGCAAAAUGACUCCGUAACUUCGGGAGAAGGAGUGCCAUGUAAAAGUGGCCGCAGAGAAUUGGCCCAAGCAACUGUUUAGCAAAAACACAGGUCUAUGCAAAACCGAAAGGUGAGGUAUAUGGGCUGACGCCUGCCCGGUGCUGGAAGGUUAAGGGGAGAGGUUAGCGCAAGCGAAGCUUUGAACUUAAGCCCCAGUAAACGGCGGCCGUAACUAUAACGGUCCUAAGGUAGCGAAAUUCCUUGUCGGGUAAGUUCCGACCCGCACGAAAGGCGUAAUGAUUUGGGCACUGUCUCAACAAUGCACCCGGUGAAAUUGAAAUACCAGUGAAGAUGCUGGUUACCUGCGCCAGGACGGAAAGACCCCAUGGAGCUUUACUCCAGCUUGAUACUGGGAUUCGGUAUUGCAUGUACAGGAUAGGUGGGAGGCUAGGAAAUGGUAACGCCAGUUGCCAUGGAGCCAAUGUUGGGAUACCACCCUUGCAGUACUGGGUUUCUAACCAGCAGCCGUGAUCCGGCUGGGGGACAAUGUCAGGUGGGGAGUUUGACUGGGGCGGUCGCCUCCGAAAGGGUAUCGGAGGCGCUCAAAGGUUCCCUCAGAAUGGUUGGAAACCAUUCGAAGAGUGCAAAGGCAGAAGGGAGCUUGACUGCGACACCGACGGGUGGAGCAGGUACGAAAGUAGGACUUAGUGAUCCGGUGGUAUAAAGUGGGAUUGCCAUCGCUCAACGGAUAAAAGCUACCCUGGGGAUAACAGGCUUAUCACUCCCAAGAGUUCACAUCGACGGAGUGGUUUGGCACCUCGAUGUCGGCUCAUCGCAUCCUGGGGCUGAAGUAGGUCCCAAGGGUUGGGCUGUUCGCCCAUUAAAGCGGUACGCGAGCUGGGUUCAGAACGU
RNAcentral lists this ribosomal RNA (1209 nucleotides) under human gut metagenome. RNAcentral describes it as "bacterial LSU rRNA". It matches the Rfam family "Bacterial large subunit ribosomal RNA", at positions 1390 to 2619 of the family's 2925-position model. The record is from RNAcentral.